AUUGAACGCUGGCGGCAUGCCUUACACAUGCAAGUCGAACGGCAGCGCGGGGCAACCUGGCGGCGAGUGGCGAACGGGUGAGUAAUAUAUCGGAACGUGCCCUGGAGUGGGGAUAACGUAGCGAAAGUUACGCUAAUACCGCAUACGAUCCAAGGAUGAAAGCAGGGGACCUUCGGGCCUUGUGCUCCUGGAGCGGCCGAUAUCUGAUUAGCUAGUUGGUGGGGUAAAAGCCUACCAAGGCGACGAUCAGUAGCUGGUCUGAGAGGACGACCAGCCACACUGGAACUGAGACACGGUCCAGACUCCUACGGGAGGCAGCAGUGGGAAUUUUGGACAAUGGGGGCAACCCUGAUCCAGCAAUGCCGCGUGUGUGAAGAAGGCC
This 382-nucleotide ribosomal RNA is filed under the name uncultured bacterium. Its description in RNAcentral is "bacterial SSU rRNA". It matches the Rfam family "Bacterial small subunit ribosomal RNA", at positions 30 to 416 of the family's 1533-position model. The record is from RNAcentral.